CUUCUCUGUGCCACGCAGGAAAGUGGGUCACAGGAGGAUUGCUCUGGGGAGUUGGUCCCAGUGUCCCUCGCUCCUGUCUGCCAUUCCUUGGAGUAGAGCCGACGCCAUCCCCGCGGCUGGAAGAACACAAAGGAAACCCUAUUCGGUCCCCGGACCUUAGGGUCACUGUAAGCAGGAGGCUGGUGUGUUUUCCAGUCUCAGAACUCCGGCCGCCCGCGGGAACAAUAGCGGCCGCCUGCCCGGGAGGUCGGACGCUCGGCACAAAGUCGGCUUGGUCCGCGCGGCCGGCCACACGACGCGCGCGCUGACCCGGCUGCCGUCGCUCGCCGGUGUUCCCGCGUCCACCUGGAACUCUUCGAGAAAGACAAACGCGGUUCCUCCUACUUUAGAGCAAGUCUGGGCCAGCUGGGAGCCGACCAGAAACCGCAAGCGAAGGAGACGCGGGCGCUCCGGGUGAGCGCCGAGGGAGGGGGCGACACACAGUCCUGCGCCAGCCCAGCAGCGACGAGGAUAGCGCUCCAGGCAGGCAGGAGGGGAAGGUCGGGGACAUCUCUGUGCAGCACCCGAAGGGAGGGCCACUGCUUACUUCUCAGCUCUAACCGCAGCCCACCAGCACGGACCUCGAACUUCAUAGCAAAUCUACACCCACGCUGUCCCCCGACCCAUUGUGACCCGGCAUUCUCCCUCCUACCCCAGUGACACUCACAUAGGCCGCUCUAUUUCUAGAAAGGGAAACCCUCUUUCUGAAGGCAGGGCAAGAACAAUCCCAAUGAACCAAGGUUUCUUAUUGACCCCAAGUCUGCCUGCAGGCCUCUCUGCGUGGGAGUAAGUAGGUCAAGGCUGCCACUGAACUUGGAGUAAACUUGAAUUCCCUUUAAAGUUACAAUAAAAGUAUGUACAUAAUCAUCUAC
This 911-nucleotide long non-coding RNA is filed under the name Mus caroli (Ryukyu mouse). Its description in RNAcentral is "lncRNA (MGP_CAROLIEiJ_G0005408.1)". The record is from RNAcentral. Lineage: Eukaryota; Metazoa; Chordata; Mammalia; Rodentia; Muridae.